GGUUAAGCGACUAAGCGUACACGGUGGAUGCCCUGGCAGUCAGAGGCGAUGAAGGACGUGCUAAUCUGCGAAAAGCGCCGGCGAGGUGAUAUGAACCYUUGACCCGGCGAUGUCCGAAUGGGGAAACCCAGUGCAAUCCGUUGCACUAUCGUUAACUGAAUACAUAGGUUAACGAGGCGAACCGGGGGAACUGAAACAUCUAAGUACCCCGAGGAAAAGAAAUCAACCGAGAUUCCCCCAGUAGCGGCGAGCGAACGGGGAGCAGCCCGG
RNAcentral lists this ribosomal RNA (270 nucleotides) under Enterobacter hormaechei. Its description in RNAcentral is "partial 23S ribosomal RNA". Lineage: Bacteria; Pseudomonadati; Pseudomonadota; Gammaproteobacteria; Enterobacterales; Enterobacteriaceae. The record is from RNAcentral.